RNAcentral lists this ribosomal RNA (253 nucleotides) under uncultured bacterium. Its description in RNAcentral is "partial 16S ribosomal RNA". It matches the Rfam family "Bacterial small subunit ribosomal RNA", at positions 524 to 776 of the family's 1533-position model. The record is from RNAcentral.
UACAGAGGGGGCAAGCGUUGUUCGGAAUUACUGGGCGUAAAGGGCGCGUAGGUGGCCUUCUAAGUUGAACGUGAAAUCCCUGGGCUCAACCCAGGAGCUGCGUCCAAGACUGGGAGGCUUGAAUCCGGGAGAGGGAUGCGGAAUUCCAGGUGUAGCGGUGAAAUGCGUAGAUAUCUGGAGGAACACCGGUGGCGAAGGCGGCAUCCUGGACCGAUACUGACGCUGAGGAGCGAAAGCCAGGGGAGCAAACGGG